This 669-nucleotide long non-coding RNA is filed under the name Pan troglodytes (chimpanzee). Its description in RNAcentral is "lincRNA". Lineage: Eukaryota; Metazoa; Chordata; Mammalia; Primates; Hominidae. The record is from RNAcentral.
GCAAUGGCUGAGAAUGGAGAUGAAGAGUUCCACUCUCAGAGGAGGAUUUUGUUCUUCAAUUGUGGAGUGAUCUCUAUCACCAGUGACUAAAGAUGUUGGAGCACAGAGAGCCAUACCCCAAAAUAUGAUGCUUUGGCAUGCUGACUGCUUUGAAAAUUGAAAGGCCUCAGAAAUAAUCCUCAGUGCCAGGGUCUCCCUCUGACCUCCCCCUACCUCCCUUUCUCUCUGAUCCUGUCUCUCCCAAAGCACAGAAUGAAGCUGUUCUCUGAAUUCCCUUAUCUACCUAGAAACUGGACCCCCAAAGAGGAACACAAUUUGCCUUUGAUCCCUUCCCUGAAAUUUCAUUAACCAGAGAAAAUUAAAACUUCUAUCACAAAGGAAGAGACUGAACAUUAAACACCAUAGCUACAGCCCAGACAAACUUCUUCCCAAACCAUUGUUUGUUCUCCUGCCUGUUAAAUUGCCAGAGAAUCAUUCACAAGAUAAAGUCUGCCUUCUGGGUCCAUUCACUCCCCACUAAAAAUCUUUUACUCCUACACCCUCAUGUCUCCUUCCUCCAUGAAGAAGGGUCUAUAAACCUCUAGGCCUCAUUGGGUUAUUGGGUAAUCAUUCUCAUGCAGUUCCCCUGUGCUCUGCAUGUUAAAUAAAUUUGUAUGCCUUUUUCUCCUA